Rhincodon typus (whale shark) is the source of this 820-nucleotide long non-coding RNA. RefSeq lists it as uncharacterized. The record is from RefSeq and is a predicted model, not a curated record. The transcript has 2 exons. Lineage: Eukaryota; Metazoa; Chordata; Chondrichthyes; Orectolobiformes; Rhincodontidae.
AGGAAACAGGAAUUAAAUUGUGUAUUUUCUUCAUCUGUACAGAUCUGUAUCAUUGUGGACAGUCACAUACCAAGGAAGCAAUAAAGAACCAAGUUCACACAUCCAGAUGAUCGGUCUGCUUUUCCGAAGGAAAAUACAACAAUUCAAGACCGUUCAAAUUCUUGAAUGACACACAUAAUUCGGCCAGACAAAAAGAAAAAAGGAGAUCAAGGUUGACCUACCUGAUGGUCCUCACAGAGAUGCAGUACUUCCACAUUAGAUUCCACAUUGUAUUGACAUCACCAAUUUGAGCAUUUUAUUCUCACAAACCAUGGAGUUUUACAGUUGCAGCAAAGAGCUGCCUUCAGGAGCAAGCAAAUUAUUUCCUGGUGCAGCCAGUUAAUGACUCUCAGGCUUGAAACAAUUUCCACCACAACUCAUUUAAGGAAAAUGUACUAAAUUUCAAGGAAACUGCAUUACAAGUUUCUUUACCCAGCUUCUUGUUGUACUUGCAACAUUGAUUUCUUUUCCUGAUUGUUGAUCCUGAAACUGAAAAUGUAUGACGCUCACAAAUUUACCAAGUAAGGUAAAAGUCCAAACAGUCCGAUGAGGUUUGACAGUCGAGUUCACCACUGAGUAACAUUGGCUGUCUGUGGGGCCCCUUAAUAUUACUUACCAGAUGACAGCAACAAUACACCCUAAAUCAUCUGGUGGGGACUGUUUAAACUCCCAGCUGCCUGAAGAAUUUCCAACUUGUCUAGUACAAUAAAACAGUACAUAUGCAGCCAGUGAUGAAUAGAUCGGAGUUUUCUCAUUAAAACAUUUGACAAGAAACUGUAAA